This is a long non-coding RNA of Etheostoma spectabile (orangethroat darter), 696 nucleotides long. RefSeq lists it as uncharacterized. The transcript has 3 exons. The record is from RefSeq and is a predicted model, not a curated record. NCBI's taxonomy places the organism in Eukaryota, Metazoa, Chordata, Actinopteri, Perciformes, Percidae.
GUGAUCUUCCCGGUGUUCCCGGUGACCUUUUUAUAGUUUCACUCCAUCGAAAUCUGAAGCAAAAGAUAACUGACACCGCCGAUGAGAAGGGGGAGGCGAAAAUGCGUCCUGCAGCCAGAGAGCGGUCUAUUUUAAGUUUCACAAAUGAAGACGCUUAAAAGUGCUAAGUCAAAAUGUCUUCUGUGGAAAAGGCCUAUGGUGGUUUCCCUUCCAUUACAAUUACGCCAGUGACUCUAUUAUUGAUGACAUCCUCCACAAAGCCAGACUUUUUCAGAUGUUUUACAUGCACCCACCUUCCAGCCCAAUCUUGCCGUCACCAUCCUUAUCGCCUGCAGCCAUCAGACUCUUGGUCUCAGCUACAGUCAGCUCCCUUGCCCCCGGAGAGAAAUUCUGAAGGAACAGUCUGACGGGUGCACAAAAAAUAUCAGAGAUAAGUUCAGACUUAUAUCAUCAUAGACUGUAUAUUUUAUGAUGCCAUUUUCUUUCCCCUCUAGGCUUUCCUGAGUUUUCAAUCCCCAUCACUCACUCACCAGCCCUUCCCUGCAUUUACUACUGAAUUUAUUCACAGCAAGAAUGCCGCUCCAUUCAUACAGUGACCUCUGCCUGUAGGCUAUCACAAUGGAAUUUCAAUGUAGAUGUAGCACACAUGCACAAACACACUCACAGGCCCAUCUCUAUCAUUGCUAUUUCUUACUU